CCUACGGGAGACAGCAGUGAGGAAUAUUGGUCAAUGGGCGCGAGCCUGAUCCAGCGAAGUAGCGUGAAGGAUGAAUGCCCUACGGGUUGAAAACUUCAUUUAUAAAGGAAUAAAGUGAGGCACGUGUGCCUUUUUGUAUGUACUUUAUGAAUCAGGCUCGGCUAACUCCGUGCCAGCAGCAGCGGUAAUACGGAGGGUCCGAGCGUUAUCCGGAUUUAUUGGGUUUAAAGGGAGCGUAGAUGGGUUGUUAAGUCAGUUGUGAAAGUUCGCGGCUCAACCGUAAAAUUGCUAUUGAUACUGGCAGCCUAGAGUACAGUUGAGGUAGGCGGAAUUCGUGGUGUAGCGGUGAAAUGCUUAGAUAUCACGAAGAACUCCGAUUGCGAAGGCAGCUUACUAAACUGCCACUGACAUUGAUGCUCGAAAGUGUGGGUAUCAAACAGGAUUAGAUACCCCAGUAGUC
RNAcentral lists this ribosomal RNA (460 nucleotides) under uncultured bacterium. RNAcentral describes it as "partial 16S ribosomal RNA". It matches the Rfam family "Bacterial small subunit ribosomal RNA", at positions 338 to 795 of the family's 1533-position model. The record is from RNAcentral.